Molecule: long non-coding RNA, 6014 nt
Filed under: Brassica napus (rape)
Lineage: Eukaryota; Viridiplantae; Streptophyta; Magnoliopsida; Brassicales; Brassicaceae
Description: long non-coding RNA (BNAP_LNC006873)
Source: RNAcentral
AUUGAGGAAGAAGAAGCAAAAGAGUUGAAGCUUUUUGUUGAGAAACUUCAUCGACUCUUUUCAUUGAUGUCUUCUCCCUUGGACUCUGAUCGCUUGGCCCUUCGUUGAAAACUCUCUCUCUCUCUAUUCCACUUGUAAAUACUCUCUUUCUAUUAGUCUCUGUUGUGUGUUUAGAAAGACCCUUUUGUGGAUGGGAGACAUGGAACUUUUGGUUGUGUGUAACUCUUUCAACUUCCGAUCAUGAGUAAUAAACAAUUGAUUCCCCAGAGUAAACAGAGUCCAAAACUUCCUUUUUUUUUGGAAAUGGUUUAUCAUGUUUUGACACUCAGCCUUUUGAACCUAGACCAGUGCCUAUAUAACUAUAAUCAUUUCCAAACCAAAUUUUUUUCCUAAAUUAAAUUUAAACCAGUUAUCAGGACUGUACUUCUACUGUGUAUCCAAUCUGAAAUAAAAAUAUGUGAAUUGUAAUGGAAAUGUUUUGUGGUCGUUUUUCUCCAUGUACAACCAUGAGAAAACGUUCUGGUUUACAGGCACAGUACAAAGUAGAAGCUAGUAAAUUAUGAAUGAUUAGCAUAAGGUAACUGAACUUAGAAUAUUCAACGAAGCAAAACAAAAAUAAACUUAUAAACAUUUCCUCCUCAACAUAUGAAAGGAAAUAAUAUAGGCAAUUAUAUCCAUGCAUUAUUUGUUUCAAACAUUUGUAGGUAUAGGAAAAAUAACAUAGUAACCGUCAUAUUUGUUCUUUGAAAUUUUGAAACUAAAAGUAACGCAUUCAUACUUGAAACGGAAAAAAAAGUAACGCAUACAAGAGAUAACUAUUCUUGCUCAAUCGGUUGAUGCAGAUUUAGAGAAAUUUCAUCUUCCAUCUAAAGUCUAAACCUUCCUCUUAUACGGAUUGGAUAAUCAAACUGGGAUUAAAUGUAAUCUUGCGUUGAUGGUCAAAAAAGUAACUAGGGUUGCAUAAAUUUGAUUUAAAAUAUAAGUUUAGUGAUGAGUUAAGUUUGAAAAAAAAAAGGAAAACAAAAGAAUUUAAUUAGUAUAGUUUUUGAAAUGAACACGUUCUAGAACGUAGGAAAACACACAAAAUCUGUGCAUGCAUCUGGUCAUGCAUGCAUAAAAAAGAAGAAUGUAAAUAUUGACCUCCAGGCUCCAAGUAUGAAGUUGCAACACUUGUACUAGAGUAUGUUUUGUUCCUCCUUUUAUGACCUUCGAGUUUUGAUGAUUUUGCUGUCUGAACAAUUAAUUUAUUCACUAAUUAUCUUAUAAAGCCCGACUAAAAUGACCGAAUCUAUGUACUAGAAUGCUUUGUUCCUCCUUUUAUACAAGGCGACACUGUGUGAGUACUGAGUAGUUUUUGUAUCCUACGUACUCACAAUCACAAUCUUUGGUGGUAUAAACAAUAUUGUCCUUCUAUCCAACAUUAUAGACUUGUGGUUUCCAUAUUUGUAGUACUGAGUUUCCGACCAACGUCUUUAAUCAACAACUACAUACUUUUUUGACAGAUUUACUUCGCGAAUUAUGAACCUGUGAACAAUUUUCUAUUUCUUCAAAUAAAAUCAUUGUAAGAGUGUCCAAUAACGCCGUUCUUGAACUGUUACUUCGACAAAACAAAUUAAAAUAUAUUUGACAAAAUAAUAAUUUUAUUAAUAUUUUGACAAAACAAACAAUCAAAUGUGUAGGUUACCCAAAAUAGACAACCAAAUCUAACAUGAUACUAUUGUGACUAGAUUACUAACUAUUUUUCUCGUAGUAUGUCAUAUUAACUUACGCAAAUAUUACAUGAGCAAAAUAAAAUACUUUCUCAAUUCCAUAAAAAGUAUCAUUUUAAUAUUUUUUCUUAUUACACGAUGAAUGUUAUAGAUUUUCAAUACAACUUAUACUUACAUACUUUUAUCUUGAUAUUAAUUGCAAAUUUUGAUCUUAUAAAUAAUUUUAUUUAUCUCAAAUACUAUAAAUUAAAGAAAUGUAAUUAAUAAUAACAUAAAUGCAGUUCAAUCAUUUUUAAAAUUUGUAUGAAAAAUGUCAAAUCGACACUCCGUGAAAUGGAGUAAAUAUCUUUUUAGGUUUGGAUUAGUAGUUUAUGCUGAAACAUCAACUAGUUUGCUUCACUAGAUACAUAUAUGCAAUGCAAUUGAAUGAUUAUUUCUUUUGAUGAUCUCUAAUAUAUAACUGAUGUGAAUUGAAAGACUUCAUUGUUAGUUUGGCGGGUCUUGUCCAACUCGAAACUUUUGGGUAAGGAUUGGUAGAGUUCUGCAUCUCACUACAGAAGAUAACUUGGUGUAUCUGCAUAGUUGCACUUUUGCAAUAGAGUUAACCUUUUAAUUUAUAACCACGGGGUGGUGGGCUAGGGGUCUUGAGGUAGUUAACACACCAAUACGGACCCGGGUUCGAAUACUCCCUGUGACCACAGAAUGCUUUACGCCUUUCCUAAGUUUAAAGUUAUCGCGGCGUUGGUGCCGGGUCCUUGGGUAAUGGGUAUUAAUGCUGGCUAGUUCCGGGCCAAGGGGAUUAGAUGAUUGGCAAUCGGAAACCACGUGCGGAUUACGGGCCUUUGGGUAAACGGAAACCACGUGCGGAUUACGGGUCACCUUUGAACCUCCUGUUAAAAAAAAAAUAAAAAACCUUUUAAUUUUAUAUGAGGAUACCCAAAAUAUAUUAUUUUACUAAAUUACUAGGUAAAUUGUUCGUACCGAAGCAAAUCCAAAUAAGCCAAAUAGUAUAUACUUUUUAAAAUCUGAAAUAGUAUUACUAUCACUACUUUUAGUCAUUUACCUAAUUUAUAAAACUUACAAAUACACAAAAAAAUUCAAACACUUCGAGAGAACCAUCAAAUAAUAAUAUCAUCGUACAUAUAAAACUAGUAGGCCUAGAAACUAGAGUAUAGAUUACAACUUCACACUUCCUCAACAAAAUAGAAACGAUUACAUUCACAUACCAACGAAUCGAAGAAUAAUCCUAGCUUCACAUAAAAUAAAAUUUUCACAAAAAUAUUUAUUGAUUUUUCCAUUUCAUUUUUUUUUUUUUUUGUCACUAAUUUUUUCCAUUUCAUAAUUACUAGUAUUAUAUAGCCCCACACUGGCACUCAUCUUCCUCAGUCCUCACAGGCUUCAACGUGUAGGUAAAGAAAGAAAAAAAUAACAAAGCAGUGCAAUGUACUCUGUUUCUUCCUCUUCCUUCAUCUCUACAUUCUCUCCUAAACCCUCUCUUCAUCUUCGCCACUCAUCUUCCUCUCGUCUUCUUCCCCGUAUCAACUCCACCGUCGUCGAAGAACGAUCCCCGAUCAUUAACCCAAGCGAAAACAAUGGCCCUCCUCAUAAGAAACUCUACACUCGGACUAACCGCAACGCAGUUGCAUCUCCGGCGAAACUCCGACCAGAAACGACUCUCGUAGCAGCCCUCUUCACCACCGUAGAAGAUGCCAUCAACACGUUCAUCGAUCCACCGUCACGUCCUUCCGUAGAUCCAAAACACGUUCUCUCAGGUAACUUCGCUCCUGUUCUCGACGAGCUUCCUCCAACGGAAUGUGAGAUCAUCCACGGCUCUCUUCCUCCGUCUCUUGACGGCGCUUACAUCCGUAACGGCCCGAACCCACAGUUUCUCCCUCGUGGCCCUUACCACCUAUUCGACGGUGACGGCAUGCUUCACGCGAUUCGUAUCCGUAAUGGUAAAGCCACGCUCUGUAGCAGAUUCGUCAAGACUUAUAAGUACAACGUCGAGAAACAAAACGGAGCUCCCGUGAUACCUAACGUGUUUUCGGGAUUUAACGGCGUGACGGCGUCAGUUGCUCGUGGAGCUUUAACGGCGUUAAGGGUUUUAGCGGGACAGUAUAAUCCGGUUAACGGCAUUGGUUUGGCUAAUACGAGUCUAGCGUUCUUCUGUAACCGUCUCUUCGCUUUAGGAGAAUCUGAUUUACCCUACGCCGUACGAUUAACGGACACUGGAGAUAUUGAAACGAUCGGACGGUUCGAUUUCGACGGGAAGUUAGAGAUGAGCAUGACAGCUCACCCGAAAACCGAUCCUGAAACCGGAGAAACGUUCGCUUUCCGGUACAGUCCGGUUCCACCGUUUUUAACGUUUUUCCGGUUUGAUUCAACCGGGAAGAAACAAAGAGACGUUCCGGUUUACUCCUUGACGUCUCCAUCGUUCGUUCACGACUUCGCGAUCACGAAGAGGCACGCAAUCUUCGCGGAGAUUCAGAUCGUGAUGAGGAUGAAUAUAAUGGAUCUGGUGCUCGAGGGGGGAUCUCCGGUUGGUGCUGACAACCGGAAAACGCCGCGGCUCGGAGUGAUUCCUCGUAACGCCGGCGAUGAUUCGGAGAUGAAAUGGUUUGAAGUUCCUGGAUUCAACAUCAUUCACGCUAUCAAUGCUUGGGAUGAAAACGAUGGAACCACCGUCGUUUUGAUCGCUCCGAAUAUUAUGUCCAUCGAGCAUACGUUAGAGAGGAUGGAUCUCGUUCACUCCUUGGUGGAGAAGGUGAAGAUCGAUCUCGUCACAGGAAUCGUGACACGUCAUCCGAUCUCCGCGAGGAACCUCGAUUUCGCGGUGAUCAAUCCGGCGUUUCUCGGGAGGCGGAGCCGGUACGUGUACGCGGCGAUCGGGGAUCCGAUGCCGAAGAUCUCCGGAGUGGUGAAGCUCGACGUGAGUAAAGGCGAUCGGGAUGAUUGCACGGUGGCGCGUAGAAUGUACGGUCCAGGUUGUUACGGCGGCGAACCGUUUUUCGUAGCGAGGGAUCCUGGUGAUCAGGAGGCAGAGGAGGAUGACGGUUACGUGGUGACAUAUGUUCACGAUGAGGUGGCUGGAGAGUCGAAGUUUUUGGUGAUGGACGCGAAGUCGCCGGAGCUUGAAAUCGUCGCGGCCGUGAGGUUGCCGCGAAGGGUUCCGUACGGAUUCCACGGACUAUUUGUAAAGGAGAGCGACGUUAAUAAGCUUUAACUAAAACAAAGGAUUAAGUGUUUAAUCACGCUCCGUUUAAUGGAGACAAAGCAUAUAUAGUGUUGUUAUAUUUGAAACAUUAUAGUAUACAUAAUUUGGCGGUGGUAGUUUGUAUACAAAAUUAUCAAACCUUAUAUUAAAUUUUUUUUCUUUCUUUUUUUUUUUUUUUACAACAAAAGGCUAAGAAACUAGGAAGGUUCCUGAUCCGAGAGCCACCUCGGGGGAACAGAAUCAACAUAAACCAUAGCAGAUGGCGAAGUCCUAGCACCGCGUGCCAGUUUGUCCGCCAGAGUAUUUUGCGCCCUCGGUAUAUGCUGGAUAGUAAAGUUAAGAAAGAAUUCCUUACAUCGUAGAAACUCCUCCAUGUGUGUAGUGAACGCCGGCCAUUCUGUCGGUGUAGACACCAUCUUCACCAGUUGAGAACAGUCUGUUGCAAACACCACCUCUGAAAUUUGUAGGGUCUUCAUGCACUCCAUCGCCCAUAUCAAAGCUUCACAUUCAGCAUGUAAAGGUGAUAGACUCCUGCGAAUAGACAUUGCACCCAUCAUAGUAUCAGUUGAUCCAUCUUUUUUGUAGACCCAUCCCUGUCCUGUAUAAGGAUCAUGUUCCUUCCAUGCUCCAUCUAUAAAACACUUGUUAACUCCAUGUGGAAAAUGAUUCUCUGCAAAAUGUAAAUAUUCACGAUUUAUAGUCUCCUUUAUCUGGGCUUCAGCCCACAAAACACCUUCUAUCUCCGCGAUCCGAAGAGUGUCCAAAGGGGUUUUUAUCUGAUUCUUAAAAACUUUAGCAUUUCUAUUCUUCCAGAUAUACCACAAUAUCCAUGGAAAAUAUUUCAAAUCUGGUUCCUUGGGUAAUCGCCAGAAAAGAUAAUCCAUAUUUGUGAAAAGUGAUGAGGUGGGAAAAACUCCUGGGCACGAGGGAAUAUUAGAUAAAGCCCACGUUUGUAGUGCUAAUGGACAUUCUUCCGAUCAUGAGUAAUAAACAAUUGAUUCCCCAGAGUAAACAGAGUCCAAAACUUCCUUUUUUUUUGGAAAUGGUUUAUCAUGUUUUGACACUCAGCCUUUUGAACCUAGACCAGUGCC